UACGGAGGAUGCGAGCGUUAUCCGGAUUUACUGGGUGUAAAGGGUGCGUAGGCGGCCCUGCAAGUCAGAAGUGAAAUCCAUGGGCUUAACCCGUGAACUGCUUUUGAAACUGCAGGACUUGAGUGGAGUAGAGGUAGGCGGAAUUCCCGGUGUAGCGGUGAAAUGCGUAGAGAUCGGGAGGAACACCAGUGGCGAAGGCGGCUUACUGGACUGUAACUGACGUUGAGGCUCGAAAGCGUGGGGAGCAAACAGG
This 253-nucleotide ribosomal RNA is filed under the name uncultured Ruminococcus sp. RNAcentral describes it as "partial 16S ribosomal RNA". It matches the Rfam family "Bacterial small subunit ribosomal RNA", at positions 524 to 776 of the family's 1533-position model. Lineage: Bacteria; Bacillati; Bacillota; Clostridia; Eubacteriales; Oscillospiraceae. The record is from RNAcentral.